AAAGCCCACCUCCAACGACUACUUUUUUCACUAUAAAAACAACUCUUUUCCAUGCAGAAACACAAUCAAUCACUUCUUCUUCAUCUUUCCUCAAAAAUAAAAACAUUUUCUCCAAUUUGUUCUUCUUUAAUAAUUUGGAGAAAAAAAGUCUUAGCUAAGACUGAACAUUAUCCGGUGAAGAAUGGCGACUCCGGCAUGGAGUCAUGCCAAGGCUCAAUGGGUAGUCGCCAUGUUGGCGUUACUCGUUGGCUCGGCUAUGGCUACCGAACCUUAUUACUAUAGCUCUCCUCCACCACCGUAUGAGUAUAAAUCUCCACCUCCUCCGGUUAAAUCUCCUCCACCGCCUUAUGAAUAUAAAUCACCACCACCUCCGGUUAAGUCUCCUCCACCACCGUAUUACUAUCAUUCACCGCCGCCGCCAGUGAAAUCCCCUCCCCCUCCUUAUGUUUACAGCUCUCCUCCUCCUCCGGUGAAGUCCCCUCCUCCCCCAUACUACUACCAUUCACCGCCUCCUCCGGUGAAGUCUCCUCCUCCUCCAUACUACUACCAUUCACCACCUCCUCCGGUGAAAUCCCCACCACCACCAUAUUACUACCAUUCACCACCUCCUCCGGUGAAAUCCCCACCACCACCAUACUACUACCAUUCACCUCCUCCUCCUGUGAAAUCUCCUCCUCCUCCAUAUUAUUACCACUCCCCACCUCCUCCGGUGAAAUCCCCACCACCACCAUACCUUUACAGCUCUCCACCACCACCGGUAAAAUCUCCCCCACCUCCUGUCUACAUCUACGCUUCUCCCCCACCUCCCACACAUUACUAGGCUCAUCAAAUUCAACAAAAUUUCCCCAUUAUUCAAGUAAGUCCUAUACUUAUACCUUUACCUCAUAAUCCGUUUUAAUAAUUGUGCCCUAAAUAAAAUCGGAAUUUCUUCUUUCACAGGUUUUCUUUUAAAAAAUGAAAUAAAGGAAGGGUCAAAGUCAAAGAGAAGAAGAAGUGAACCAAAUAAGGAUCGUGGCGUGGAAAUCAGAAACAAAACAUCUCUAACAACGAUCCACAUCACUUCCUCUUCUUCAAUGUCGCUCAUCUUCCACUUGUGCAUCAUUAUCUUUGCGUCUUCGUCAAGUCAAAUUGUUUCCAAGACCCUUUUAGAUCGUAUCAUACUCCUCUUUGUUCCCUUUUGUUGUUAAGUGAAAAAAUGGGUUUUGGUAAUUUAAUUGUUGUGCAUACAUUUUCUAUUUUGUUAUUCUUCCGUUAAUGUAAUGAAAGAGUUGUUAGCAUAUAAAACAAAGUUCAGUUUCUUCUUUCUUUGGAUUAUGCGAUAUACAGUCAUAACAUUUUCUAUCUUAAAACAUAGUUCCAACGACAAAAGUAGUUCCAAUGACAAAGUUAAAAGACAUAUUCUUUUAGGUUGGGCACGACAUUGUUUCGAUCUGUUCGUCCAGAGAAAGUUAUCAUUGCUUCAAAAGGUGGGAAAGUGGAAGUAACACAUCACUUUGAUCUCAUUGGAUCAUUAAUAAUUGUGUUUAUGUAAUACGUCAGAGACUCACUUUCAUUCAACUAAUUUCCACCUACUCUUUUUGUUUCAACCUUAAAAAAAAAAAAUAUUGAGCAAUACUAUAUGCUUAAUACAAAACCAUUGACUAAAAUUAAAGAAUGUUGAAAUGAAUUAAUAUCAAAGUUAUAGUUUAUAUUCUUCUAUUUAAUCGAAACAUGGAACCAAACAAAAGCAAAUGAAAAGCAGCAAGUGCUGAAGAAUUGGUUCGAAAUAAGUGGAGUGGUUGUACUUUGGGCUUUGGGAUAGCAUUAGCUGAUUUUGAGGCCCAUUGGCUAAACGUAUUUGGUAAUUUGCCUCCAAUUUUUUUGUCACCGUCAUUUUGUUUGUUGUUUGGCAACGACACCUUCCAAACUUUAUCGUUAUGCUUAAGUUGAUUUUGAUAAAUUAAUUUGAUAAUGAUGAAGUGAAAUUCAAUGAAGCUAAUAAACACAAUUUUGAUAAAUUAAUUUGAUUUCAACAGUACUGAAAUAUAUAGUAUUAGGUCUAGUAGCUUCCAACUCCACUAGACAUAAAGCAAUUUUGUCCCAACAAAAGUUUUGGAAUAAAGCAUAUUGUAUCUUCUCAUUUCCAAACUGUAUAUGAGAAUAGAAACUUUAUAAAACUGGUUAGACCAAAGUAAUAAUUAUGUUGUUCUCAAUUAAACAGCUGUGAUUUUUCAAAUCCAAACAUUAUAUUGAUUUGGAGCGCCUUAAUAAUAUUCUCCGUGUUUAGUUGCGCUGUCUUAUUUGUAUUAUUCUUUUUUUUUUUCACUAUUUCAUUUUUAUUUAUUUAUUUUAUCUGUUGAAUUUUCUCUUCUGGCUGCUGUUUUCCUCUCUCUCUCUCUCUAAACUCGAGAAUUUUUGUAGAGAGAGGAGGCAAAGUGCGAAAGCUAAACGCAGAUCCACGAUCAAUCUCCUCCACCUUCAAAAGCCUUCAAAAGUGUUUCUUCUUCGUCUUCUUCCUUUUAUUAUCUGUGCCUUGACAGAUCCACGAUCCGAUUCUGGUCAAAUUUUACAUUUCUGCAGGUACGAUCUUAGCUCUUUUUGUUCUUUCAUGUUCAUUAUUCUUUUUCUGGAUCUAUUGUUUCCAUUUUUAAAUUUCCGGUUGAUUUUUUUAUCUUGUUCGAUGUGAUUCUAUUUUGUGGAGGGAUGUUAUUAGCUUUAAGAUCUGUGUGAGCUGCGUUUUUGAAUGUGAAUCUUCCUUUUUAUUCGAUUUUGAUUGUUACCGUUUGAAUUUUUAGUCUGCUUAGGAGUCGGAUUUUGUUGAUUUUGACUUCUUCUUUAUAUCCUUUAAUUGUUGCAAAAUUCGGAAAUUUUGUUACGAGCUGGGGAUUUUUUCCACUUCCUUGAGAUUGUUUUAGGGUGAAUCUGAACAAAGACAAAUUCGAUCAUUGCUGAUUGCUUUGUUGCCGUUCCUCAAUUCCAUGUAUCUGGCUCUUACGAUUGUGUAAUUGAAAUGAGAUUAUGAUGAAGAAUGAUUCGUUUGUUUCUUUUUGUUCUAUCUAUACAUUUGUGGUGAUAUAUAUAUAUAUCUUUGUUUGAAACGUUAAUAGAUAAGCUGCUCAUACUAGUUAUACAACAGACUCCAUAGAAGGUGACAUUUGUUUAAGAUACUCUUGUUCCUGGAACACAUACGAAGAUGAAGAAAGUCUUCGGACAAACUGUUAGAGACCUGUAAGUAUUUUCGUACCCGAAAUUUAAUGAUAUUCUCAAUCUGUGUGUGGUUUAUUUCUUUUUUCAUUGACGGGAUGCUUCAUUUUAUGUUCCAUUUAUUCAGUAAGAGAGAGGUCAACAAGAAAGUGCUCAAAGUUCCUGGAGUAGAACAGAAGGUAAUGGAUGCUCUUAGCUUCUUCUCUCUUUUUCUUCUUAUCAGAAAUUCUUCCGCAGCAGAGAUUUAGAUACUGUUUUCCAUUUUUAUGCUUGAGUUUAUCAAUUUCUUUAUUUGUUUCUAAAAGGCUUUUAUAAAUAGAGAGCUUAUCUUGGUUGCAUUCAUCGUCUUGCUAAACAAUGUAAAGCGAGAUAUCCAACUUUCUCUUAUCUUGUUUUGUCUGUGCUUUCUCUUAUUCAGGUUCUAGAUGCUACUAGUAAUGAGCCAUGGGGUCCACAUGGAUCACUUCUUGCUGAUCUUGCGCAAGCUUCCAGAAAUUAGUAACUACGACCACCUUCCAACUUGCUAUAUUUUGCUGCGAUUUUGGACAUUGCACAGGAAUUAUAAAAACAUGUUACUUCUAUUUCAGUCAUGAAUAUCAGCUGAUCAUGGUGGUCAUAUGGAAACGCCUUAGCGACACCGGAAAAAACUGGCGGCAUGUCUAUAAGGUAAACAAUAUUAUUGUCUUGCUGGCUUAAUUUGUGUUGAAUUUCUGUAGCAGUGACUAAAGUAUUUCAUGCUGUUUACCUCUUCUCUCUCCCCUUCAGGCUUUGACAGUUUUGGAGUACAUGGUAGGCCAUGGAUCAGAACGUGUUAUAGACGAGAUUAGAGAACGUGCAUAUCAAAUUUCGGUAAUGACUACCUUGAGUACAUUAUUUUGGAAGUAUUCAACAUCAAGAGAAUCCUUUAGUGCUAUAUCUCAGUAGUUGACUAUCUUACUUGUAUAUAUGUCUAUUUUCCUUGUGGCAGACAUUGUCCGAUUUUCAGUAUAUUGAUUCCGGUGGUAGAGAUCAAGGAAGCAAUGUUAGGAAGAAAUCACAGAGCCUGGUGGCUUUGGUGAAUGACAAGGAAAGAAUAGCUGAAGUCAGACAGAAGGCUGCUGCUAAUAGAGAUAAGUAAGUUUGCUUGUCAUUGUAUCUUUCUGGAACUGGUGGAUAGUUUUCUCUCUGUGUGAGUCUCGGUGGACACUCGUUUGAUUUCUUGUUGCUAGUGGCUUACAAUUGUUAUUAUGCUUCUCGGUAGUCUAUUAAUUGGUAGUACUGGCACUUUAACUGUAUUAGCUUCUGAAUUUUGAAAGUUUUUAUCUCGAGAAAAAAAAAUGACAUGUCUUUUGGUUCAUUCAAAAUAUGCUGAACAUAUCAACCUACAUUAUUUUACAACAGGUAUCGCAGCUCAGCACCAGGUGGGAUGUAUAAGCCUUCAGGCGGAUAUGGGGAUAAAUAUGAUUACGGAAGCCGGGAUGAAGAGCGAAGUAGUUAUGGAAGAGAAAGAGAAUAUGGUUACAGAGAUGAUGAUAGAAAUAGUCGUGAUGGAGAUCGUCAUUCCAGGGACUCUGAAGACCGGUAUGGGAGAGAUGGUAAUAGGGAUGAUGAUUACAGGGGAAGGAGCAGAAGUGUUGAUAACUAUGGGUCACGAGGUAGGAGUUCGGAAAGAGAGCGGGAGGAUGAUGGCCAUUCUUCAUCACGGUAUGUUAAAUUUCAAGUCGCCUAAAUCCUGAAAUAAAAAAGGAAGGGGAAAAUUUUGAAGAUUAUCAACUCCAUUUGGAUAGAAUAUUUUUAUUUUGAAUACUAGCGUAGAUGUCCUUGAUUUUAAAAAUCAUUUCGAACCGCAAUCUUCUUAGUCUAGUUCCAUUUUCAAAUUUUAAAUGGAUACACUCCUUUUUGUCCUGUAGGGGCAGUGGUGCUCGAGCUGAUGAUAAUUCUCAGGAUGGGAGGUAAUUUCUGAUAAAUUUCUACUGAAGUUUAGGCAUUCUUUUAUUGUAUGACAACUCAUCUCACCUUCUUUCGGGAUUAUAAUGGUAGAGGGGGGCUCCAGAGGAAGUUUUCUGAACAAAAUAUUGGCGCUCCACCCAGUUAUGAAGAAGCUGUCAGUGAUUCACGCAGCCCUGUAUAUAGUGAAAGGUGAUCAUUUUCUGCUUUGAAAAUUGAAAGCUACCUUGGUUUUUAUUGGUGCUGAUGAAUCUUUCUAUGCCAGGGAUGGUGGGGAGACCCCACAAGUUACCGCUCCAGGAGCUGCUUCUCCUCCUCCCCCACAAGUUGCUGCUCCAGAGGCUGCUUCUCCUCCAACUGGAACCAACACAGCCAAUACAACUGCUACUUUUGUUAAUGAAUCACCUUCUCAGAAAGUUGAGACUUUCGAUGAAUUUGAUCCACGCAGUGCGUUUUCAGGUACAGAAUACUCAAACUCUUGCAAUUCUUUAGUUGUAUCUUGAGAUAUUUUCUUAGUUUUUCAAACUCCUCGGCAGCAUAGAGAUUACAUGAAAAUCUUUAAUCAAUAACUAUAACUAAUUCAGUAAAUGUUUCAAGGCUUAGUUGGAGGGUGUAUGAUUGUAUUCUCAUGUCUGUAUGGUAUAUUUCUAUCCCAUUAAACUCUGCUUGUUCUGAGUGUGGCCGUUGUGUUCCUUUACUUUUCCAGCUGGCCCUCCAGCAUAUGCAUCUACAGAUGGUGUUACAGCUCCUCCAACUGUGACUUCUAUGUCUGCCCCUACCACCUCAAACAGUGUUGAGAUGGACUUGCUUGGUUCCCUUGCAGACGUAUUUUCAUCAAACGCAUUGGCCAUUGUACCAGCUGAUUCUAUCUAUGUUGAAACCAAUGGACAAGCAAACGCUGGUCCAGCUCCAUCGUUUUCUACAUCUCAGCCAUCAACUCAGGUAUAUACACUGAGCUUGGAGUAUGAAGAUUAUGAUGGUUUCCUAUGAUUAUUGAUGACUGUUGUUUGGAUUAUGCAGUCAUUUGAUGACCCAUUUGGUGACUCUCCUUUCAAGGCCUUCACUUCUACUGACACCGACUCAACCCCACAGCAGAAUUUUGGAGCUUCUUUCCAGCCACCACCUCCAGCCUUCACUUCAGAGGUCUCACAUCCUGAUACUGCUCAUAACUUUGGCUUUGGGGACUCAUUUUCCGCCGUUGCCAAUCCUGAUCCUGCUUCUCAGAAUGUGCAACCUCCAUCGAACUCACCAGGUUUUCCUCAAGAGCAAUUUGCUACAUCUCAGAGUGGUAUUGAUAUCCUCGCUGGCAUUCUCCCACCAUCUGGACCUCCAGUACAAUCGGGUCCCUCAAUACCAACAUCUCAAUUUCCUCCCAGUGGAAACAACAUGUACGAGGGAUUUCAUUCUCAGCCGCCGGUAUCUACAGCUCCAAACCUGCCUGGACAAACUCCAUUUGGACAAGCUGUUCAACCAUAUAACAUGGUUCCUCAUUCUCAAAAUAUGACUGGAGCCAUGCCAUUUAAUAGUGGAGGCUUCAUGCACCAGCCGGGCUCACAAACUCCUUACUCUACCCCAAGUGGACCAGCUGGUCAGUUCAUGGCACACCAAGGUCAUGGAAUGCCGCCAUCCCAUGGUCCACAACGAACUCAAUCCGGACCUGUUACUCUGCAAGGGAACAACAAUGUCAUGGGAGACAUGUUCUCGCAAGCUACGCCCAACUCCUUGACGUCAUCAUCAUCUCAUCCAGAUCUCACACCUUUAACAGGAGCAAUUGAGAUUGUUCCUCCGCCUCAGAAAAAGUUUGAGCCAAAAUCAUCAGUCUGGGCAGACACGUUGAGCAGGGGGCUUGUUAACUUUAACAUAUCUGGAUGUAAGAUAGAUUUCACCAUACCAUUUAAGGAAAAAAAAACGUCUUUAGCAAACUUUCUAACAUUGUUUUUGUUUUUCUACUUAUCGCAGCUAAAACAAAUCCAUUGGCAGACAUAGGAGUUGACUUCGAGGCGAUCAACAGGAGAGAGAAACGGCUGGAGAAACAAACAAACACACCAGCAACAUCGACUAUCAAUAUGGGUAAAGCCAUGGGAUCAGGCACUGGCUUAGGGCGUUCUGGUGCAACUGCUAUGAGACCUCCACCUAAUCCAAUGACAGGCUCUGGCAUGCCCAUGGGCGGAGGAAUGGGUGUUGGUAGCUACGGAGGUAUGAACCAGAACCAACCCAUGGGUAUGGGUAUGGGGGCCGGAAUGAACCAAAACCAACCGAUGGGUAUGGGAAUGGGACCCGGCAUGAACAUGAACAUGAACAUGGGAGGAUAUGGCCAAGGCUAUCCGAUGCAACCACAAAACCCAGGGAUGGUACCUAGCCCAAACAUGCCUGGCAAUAACUACAAUCCGAUGAUGGGUCAAGGUGGUUACAACCCUCAACAAUCCUAUGGUGGUGGAUACCGGUAAGAUCAAGCCAAACAUGAUGCACUUGACUUCAUUCGUGUAAUCAAGAAUACGCUCGCCUGUGCUUUUUCUUUACUCUGGGAUAUGUAAUAUCAGUCGAUAAAAGUACUCAGGUUACAUUAUUCAUCCAGGCAACACGGCUCCACGAAUUUUCUUCUCUGUUUGUUCUUGCCUUACUCGUCACUCAUCAUUCAUUUUUAUUUUUUUCUGGUUUGGACCAAAUUGAGAGCUUGUUGUGAAAUUUGUACCAGUGUGAGAGUGGCAAACCUUGCUCGGGUCUGCCCUUUUUUUGUUAUAUGCAUAUAAUUUGAUAUAUACACAUUCACUUCUAUUUCUUUAUUUUGAAGAUGUGUAAUACAUUUCUCAUUCACGGAACAAAUAAAAUCUUUACAUUUUUGUAUUCUCUUUUUAAAUGUUUCCCGGCUGUAUUUACUUUUUCUUCACUAGGUGUGUGUCAUUCUAGAAAGACUUGGAUUCUGUCACCUGCAGUGUCUUUAAAAUCUAACAAAAUUUUCCCUCCGACCUCAUCUGCUGCAUCGUCCAUCAAUUGCUUCAAGUUCACGCCUCCUAAAGCUGCGAAUUUUUUGAGGAUCUGUCAAUAACUAUGCCUAAGAAAACUGAAACAGAAUAAGAGAGACUUAGGAGUUUUUGAAUACCUGGAACAAUGUUUGUGACACCUUCCAAGAAUCCGGCCUGUUCCAACCAUAAGACAAGUUUUGCAUCAGCUCAGAUAAAACACGAAAAAUGGCCCUCGAAAGUGGACUUACCGGAAUUCUGACAUCGAGUUUCUCAAACCCAUCGCGUCCGAUGAUUUUGAUCCUCAAAGAUCGUGACCAGAUCCGCGAAAAGGGGUUUCUUGGUUCAUUAUAAACCUCAGGUGUUAUGACUUCAACAAUCAGGUCCUCUCUCUGUUCUGGAUCAUCUUUAGCCACCCGUUGAUUACGAUAGACGCUACUGCUGCUCACUUCUUGAAAAGGAUAAAACAUAUAUUUAGUUAUUGAUUUGACAUUUCCCAAAGAUGUUACAACUGAAAACUUCCAUGUCUCACCUCUAUCUGAUGACGAGGUAGCGUACCGCUUCUCUUCUUCCUCGUAAGUGUCAAAACCAAGAAUCUCUCCAAUUUCUUCUAAAGACGCCAUGCUUCCUGGUGGAGGAAUUCGCCCACCCUUGAUUGCCAAUAGAGCGUCCUGCAAGUGUUCCACAUAGUUCUUAAGUCUCUUUGCCACCACAGUGAAGUCAACACAUUAUUGGCAGAAACAGAAAGAUUGUGACCUGCAUUGCUUGAAUAGAUACUCCAAUCAAUGAAAUUGGAUACGCCACUAGCUUAUAUCCAAUCUCUUCUAGCUCCAGCGGGUUUAGAAUUGGAAUUUUUCCUCCGCUUUCAAGCAUAUUAGCCUACACAGACCACAAAAAUGUAUCUUCGUAUCUCCAGGGAAUAUAUCAAGAUACAGAAAGAGUAGUUUCCGGCGCAAAGUGAAGUUACCAAUUUAGGAACUAGUGGAUAGACAUUGCAGAAUGCUUUCAUCUCUUCUCUAGAAACAAGAGAAUCAACGGAGAGAACAUCAGCUCCAGCAUCUGUAAAAGCUCUUGCCCUAAUGAGUGAUUCCUCCAGAGAUAUCGCUUCACGGGAAUCAGUUUGAGCUACAAUUACAAUGUCCGAAUCACACUCUCUACGUGCAUCAACCGCAGCUUUAACACGCAUCACUGCUUCCUCUCUAGAAACCACUCUUCUCUCACUCUUAGUAUUUUCACAACAAACUUCAUCAUUGAUGAUAAUUCCUGCAAAGCCAGCUUUAAUAUAUCCUUUGACGGUUCUCUUAACAUUCAUGGCAUUACCGUAUCCAUUGCCACCGUCUCCAAUCACCGGAAUUGAUACAGAUUGAGUAAUUUGUUGACCUUGAUCAACCAUUUCUCCAUAAGAAAUUAGACCCUUAUCCGGUAAACCAAGCCGAGACGCUGAAAUCGAGAACCCUAUUUGCAUAAACAGAUUCGAGUAAGUAAUCAUAGCAAAACAUACUCCUUAUCAGAUUCAGUGAAGCUAAAAAACUGUAAAGUCUUCAACUUUAUGGAGAACACAAUCAACAACAGUAGACGAUCAAAUUCACAAUAACCAGAUACAAAUUGUGAAGAAUUGGUUUAGCAAAAAUUAAUCAGUGAUGGAUUUAUAAAUCAUUACCAGAGGUGAUACAGUAAGGAAACCCAGCUCGUUCGAUGAGUUUGGCACUAAGAGCAUCGAAGCAACAUGGACCCUGAAGAACACCAGGGGAUUGCAUAAUAUUCCUUAGCUUCUUCGCCGGAGAAGAUGGAAGUUUCGCGUUUCCCGAUUCAUCGGAAACUACGGUGGAGUUAACGGCGCCACGAAAUCGUCUUGAGACAGAGAAGGGGUUCGCAAAUAAUUCUCCGACGGUUUGUGUGAAAGAAGAAGAGGCAGAAGAAGGGAAAAAACUCGAUUUGGAUUGUUUAUGAAGAAUUCGAGGAGGAGAAGAGCUGCAAAAGCUAAGUGCCGCCAUUGAAGCCUUGAAGGAUUCACUUCUGUUCGGUAAAAGAAAGAAACAGAAAUUGAUCAAAAGAAAGAAGUUGGACAAACCGAAACAACAAGAACCAGACCGAACCAGAUUUAAUAAUUAAAAAAAAAAAAAACCAUGUCACGUGAGCUUUUUUAGGGUUCACGUGAUCAUCUCUAUCGUCGAAAUACAAGCGGCGGACUUCAAAAUCAUAACUUUUUUCUUCGCUCCUCUCUUAGCAUCGCCGUGAAUCGUUGGUCUCAGUUUCUCCGUCCAUCUUUGAUUCGUCGAUCCGUAAGCAUCUAUUCAGUUUCAUGUCUUUUGUUCUAAACUUUUUGGUUUGAUUGGGGUUUUACCUUUGGUUAAUUAAAGCUUUCUAGAUUCUUAGUGUUUGGAUUGAAUUCUGUAAGGUUUGGUAAAACUAUACCAGGUUAGUUGCUAUCUAGCUGCAAUGGGUACAGAGACGGUUGUGCAUGAUCAGGCAAGAUGGGCAAUGGCUGCAAUGGAACGAAGGCUUGCUGUUGCAAAAGCUCAGCUUCUUCAACAACAACAACAGAAGAAUGAGAAAGAUAAGAAGGGGACUUCUGAUGUAGAUGUCUCUAUGAAAGAAUCUCAUCAAGCUGAUUCACUGCCUACUCCCUCAAAGACAUCAAUUAAAAAAGGUUUGAUGGUUGAGUAUAAACGAAGAAUGAUUCUCUCUAGCAACUCUUUAUUGAACUCUGAUUGUCAUGGGAAUUUGGUUUUGUAGUAGAUCCCAAGGAUGAUGAUUCUGUUGCAUAUACAAAGUUGUCCCAUCCCGUUGAUGAGAAUCUGCUGGCAACCAAUGUUAAGGUAUAUUCAGAUUCUUGAGGAGAACGAAGCUCGGCCUUCUUCUGUAUGAUAGAUAAGAUUGCUCAAUGUGUGUGUUUUUUUGUGAUUCAGUUUUCUAGUGCAAAGGGAACUAUAGUAGACAAGGUUUUGCAUAACCUUCUUCGAAGCGGUGACUCUGCUCAAAAGUACUUGCAAGGUACUAAAAGUGUGAAGCUGGAUAACUAUAUCCUUCUUGAUAAUUUUGUACAGUCACGGUCUUCGGCCUCUGGUUCUAAAAAGGCAUCACAGAAGGAUUCAAAACGUUCUAAAAGCCGUAUGUCUAUGAAGCGACUCAAGAAAUCUGGUGCUUUGCAUAUCCCUAAAGAUCUCCAAAAGUGAGUUCUUUAUAUUUUUUUUUUUUUUUUUUGCUGUCAUAUAGAUUGAACUGGCUCAGCCUAUGCAUCUGAGUCUAUUAUUUUGGUAUUCUUAAUAAAGUUUAAGUGAUUACUUGUUCACUUGUGUUUGAGUGCAGGUUUGAUUUGUUUAAGCCAAUGCAUGGUAUGUGGGAAAGUUACAUGAUGAAACUCAUCAAGGUGACCGGGUAAGCUACUUAUCUGAUUACCGAAAUACUGAUUCAAACUAUGUGCUUUCUAUAAGGACGAAACUGAUGGGAGUAAUCUAGUAUACACAAUCAUUUUAAGCUUGGUCAUCAUUCUUAGACAAUUUACUUUUUGCAGGAAGAUUCAAUUAUCUUUAACUCUUCUCUCAGCAGAUCUUCAUGGUGCUUUCAUGUUUGGUAAUCCUUCAUUCUUUCACAAAUCUGUAGUACUAGGAUAUGAUCUUUUGUCUCUCACUCACUUUCCAAAACUUAACUUCUCUGUACGCUUAAACAAACCUUAAAACUAGUCCUUUUUUUUCAUAUUGUAAUUUGUUCCAAUCAUAGCAACCUAUUUUACUUGUGACAGUUGCUGAGUGCAAGAUAGCAUCAUUCACUGGUGUACAAGGCAUAAUGGUGCGCGAGACAUCCGAAACAUUUGGAAUAAUCACACGAGAUGACAAAUUUCGAGGUAUCUUAAAGCUUUUUUCACCAAUAUAUUUGCCAUAAAUAUCUUGAAUCGUUCUCUUCCCCAGCCUCAAGGCUUAACUUAGUUAUUGUAAACAAUCUGAUACAGUUGUACCGAAGAAGCUCUCUGUCUUCAUCAUCCAACUCGACUGCUGGAAGAUUACUUUACAUGGGGACAAGUUUAUUUCAAGAGACAAUAUUGUUCAACGUUAAUGCUAAAAAUGAAGCUCUAGUCGUUUUUCUUAGCUAGUGGUAGAAAGCAACCAUUGAUGACCACAGAAGCAUCCUAAUCUCACAAGAUUUUGCUUUAGAUCUUUCCUUAUGGACCCAACAUUUUAAUAUAUUUCUUAAUCUUGAAUUUUGUAUGAAUCCUCUGUAAAUAUACUACUGUGUUAUUGUUAAUACUAAUUUUUAUUAUUAGAAAAUGAGUGCUUAUAUCUCAGAAAUCCAUCUGGGGCCACUAAUAAAGACAAGUACAGUUGAAGAUUCCAAGGUGAGUCUGACUUAACUAAAGUAAUAAUAUUUCACAUCACUGUCCUCUCUCUCUCUCUGCAGCUCUAAACUGUUUUGAAACCUAAUUGCAGAAGAAGUCCAGACAAAAAAAAGAGGAUGAAUCCAUCACAACAACACUUACCAAAGCUAUGUCCUAAGCGCCUAUUCCUCUUCUUCACUCCAUUCUUAUUGUUCUCUCUCUAUUACAUCCUCACCACUAUCAAAACCAUCACCAUCUCUUCCCAAGAUCGUCACCAUCCUCCACAGCUUCAUGUACCUUCCAUUUCCCAUUACUACUCCCUUCCAGAAACUUCAGAAAACCGAUCGUCACCACCUCCACUACUACUACCACCACCACCAU
Molecule: long non-coding RNA, 12762 nt
Filed under: Arabidopsis thaliana (thale cress)
Lineage: Eukaryota; Viridiplantae; Streptophyta; Magnoliopsida; Brassicales; Brassicaceae
Description: long non-coding RNA (ATHA_LNC000044)
Source: RNAcentral